Long non-coding RNA from Capsella rubella, 726 nucleotides. RefSeq lists it as uncharacterized. The record is from RefSeq and is a predicted model, not a curated record. NCBI's taxonomy places the organism in Eukaryota, Viridiplantae, Streptophyta, Magnoliopsida, Brassicales, Brassicaceae. The transcript is spliced from 2 exons.
CCCCCCCCCCCCCCGGUGGUCGGCGCUCCUCACUGCUGCCGUAAGAUGGUUCGAUCUUGGUGUGGGUCAUUUUGAUGGCAUUUGUUGCUGAGUCACCUACUAGGAGCAGUGGAAUCAUUUGGUUCUAGUUAAACCAGUGGAAUCCGUCUAUAGUUCUUCUCUUGCGAGGGCGUCGUCAGCUUUAUGUCUGUAGGUGUGCUGAAGCUGUUUCAGCGAGUGUCCGUGCGUAAGAAUUGUUGAUCUUGGUUGGCUUAUCUCCCCCGUCGAUUACAAGGAUUUUUCCUUGUCCCUAGUAUAUCUUGCUCUCUCCAUCUGACUAGUGAGGUGUGAUGGUUGUUGUAUUUGAGUCUCUGGUAUUGGUUGUUUCUUGCUUUCCUCCUUGUCGGUUUGCUUCUGCUUUGACAUCGGUGGGAGGUCUUCCGAUCUUUGUGGGGCUUCCGACGUUCACAUGUUCUAUAAGGAAGCUUGGUGAGAGUCUAUGUUUCCCUUGCUCAAUUAUAGUGCUUAGGUUUCAAUUCCUCCUUAAUAAUUGCUCCUCUUUCGAUGUUUGUGUAUGGUUGGUAAUUUAAGUUCCCUGUAUGUGGGGUUUUAAUUUCCCUUUUGUGGGUUUAAGUUUCUGGAGACAUCUUGUUCGUCUGCCAGCUUAAGAGAUGUCAACUUGUAUUCCACUUUGGUUUAAAUCAAAAUUCAGAUGACAAAAAAAAAAGAACAAUUUAUUACCUGCCA